GAGUUUGUAAGGAACACCGAGAACUGCUAAUUCCUCGCUCCCAUGGUUCGACUCCAUGGCUAACUCA
RNAcentral lists this transfer RNA (67 nucleotides) under Anomaloglossus baeobatrachus. Its description in RNAcentral is "tRNA-Ser". Lineage: Eukaryota; Metazoa; Chordata; Amphibia; Anura; Aromobatidae. The record is from RNAcentral.